This 469-nucleotide ribosomal RNA is filed under the name uncultured bacterium. Its description in RNAcentral is "partial 16S ribosomal RNA". It matches the Rfam family "Bacterial small subunit ribosomal RNA", at positions 29 to 506 of the family's 1533-position model. The record is from RNAcentral.
ACUAACGCUGGCGGCGUGCCUAACACAUGCAAGUCGAACGAUUGUACAUUCGUAGCAAUAUGGAUGUGCUUUAGUGGCAGACGGGUGAGUAACGCGUAGAUAACGUGCCCUUUAGUUGGGGAUAGCCGUUCGAAAGGACGGGUAAUACCAAAUGAGCUCGCGUGGGGACAUCCCCGGGCGAGGAAAGCAGCGAUGCGCUGGAGGAGCGGUCUGCGUCCUAUUAGCUUGUUGGUGGGGUAAUGGCCUACCAAGGCGACGAUGGGUAGCCGGUCUGAGAGGAUGAUCGGCCACACUGGCACUGAGACACGGGCCAGACUCCUACGGGAGGCAGCAGUGAGGGAUUUUGCGCAAUGGGCGAAAGCCUGACGCAGCGACGCCGCGUGAGGGAUGAAGGUCUUCGGAUUGUAAACCUCUGUCAGUGGGGAAGAGUAAGGACGGUACCCGCUGAGGAAGCUUCGGCUAACUACGU